RNAcentral lists this ribosomal RNA (513 nucleotides) under Ruminococcus sp. CO41. RNAcentral describes it as "bacterial SSU rRNA". It matches the Rfam family "Bacterial small subunit ribosomal RNA", at positions 8 to 521 of the family's 1533-position model. Lineage: Bacteria; Bacillati; Bacillota; Clostridia; Eubacteriales; Oscillospiraceae. The record is from RNAcentral.
AGAGUUUGAUCCUGGCUCAGGAUGAACGCUGGCGGCGUGCUUAACACAUGCAAGUCGAGCGAAGCACUUAGGAAAGAUUCUUCGGAGGAUUUCCUAUUUGACUGAGCGGCGGACGGGUGAGUAACGCGUGGGUAACCUGCCUCAUACAGGGGGAUAACAGUUAGAAAUGACUGCUAAUACCGCAUAAGACCACAGCACCGCAUGGUGCAGGGGUAAAAACUCCGGUGGUAUGAGAUGGACCCGCGUCUGAUUAGUUAGUUGGUGGGGUAACGGCCUACCAAGGCGACGAUCAGUAGCCGACCUGAGAGGGUGACCGGCCACAUUGGGACUGAGACACGGCCCAAACUCCUACGGGAGGCAGCAGUGGGGAAUAUUGCACAAUGGGGGAAACCCUGAUGCAGCGACGCCGCGUGAGCGAAGAAGUAUUUCGGUAUGUAAAGCUCUAUCAGCAGGGAAGAAAAUGACGGUACCUGACUAAGAAGCCCCGGCUAACUACGUGCCAGCAGCCGCGGU